GGACGAACGCUGGCGGCGUGCUUAACACAUGCAAGUCGAACGGAGGAUUAUUUCGGUAGAUCCUAGUGGCGAACGGGUGAGUAACGCGUGGGCAAUCUGCCCUUCAGAUGGGGACAACAUCCCGAAAGGGGUGCUAAUACCGAAUACGAUCCUUCCACCGCAUGGAGGGGGGAUGAAAGAUGGCCUCUAUAUAUAAGCUAUCGCUGAAGGAUGAGCCUGCGUCUGAUUAGCUUGUUGGUGGGGUAACGGCCUACCAAGGCGAUGAUCAGUAGCCGGUCUGAGAGGAUGAACGGCCACAUUGGGACUGAGACACGGCCCAAACUCCUACGGGAGGCAGCAGUGGGGAAUAUUCCGCAAUGGACGAAAGUCUGACGGAGCAACGCCGCCGUGAGUGAUGAAGGUUUUCGGACUGUAAAGCUCUGUUGUUUGGGACGAAAGUGCCUGUUGCGAACAGUUACGGGUAUUGACGGUACUAAACGAGGAAGCCACGGCUAACUACGUGCCAGCCGCGGC
RNAcentral lists this ribosomal RNA (513 nucleotides) under uncultured bacterium. RNAcentral describes it as "bacterial SSU rRNA". It matches the Rfam family "Bacterial small subunit ribosomal RNA", at positions 27 to 518 of the family's 1533-position model. The record is from RNAcentral.